CGCGCAGGGAUCUCAGGCUGCAGCCCUCCCCUUUUCAGUGCAUGCAGGAAGUUUAUCCGGCAGCACUUCUACCCGCCCCCGUGCCUAGGAGCAACAAGGGGUCAGACCCGGCCCCGGCCAGGCUGCGGGGAGUUCUCGGGCUGGUUUCCUCCUCACUACCGCUCCCUCCCUUAUGUCCCCCCGCCCCACCCACGCUCAUAGGACUCUCGCCGAGCUGGGGGUGCUCUGGCUGUGAGUCGGUUCCCGCGCCCCAGUUACUCCGCUGCGUCCCCUCCUGCUCCGUGCUGGGGGGGGGAGGGGGGUCAGCCUAUAGCCCUUUUCCCCGCGCAUUCAGGCAAGGGGGGGCGGGCUCUCCAGCUGCAGCCUGCACGCGGCUCGGCCCCUCGCUUGCGCCCCCGGGCCCAGCACCGCCCGCUUGCCCCGAGCGCCAGGGCGCGGCCCCACCCCGGGGCCGGGCGGAGGCAGGGGCGGGCGGGGGGUGUCUCCCAGUAAGAUCUCGCGGUGCUGGCGGGGCUCAGCCUCCUUCUCCUCCCUGGCGAGCGGUGACUGUGCAGGGCGGCGCGGGGAGCCAAGCAGCCGCCGGAGGAGGCUGCCCCGAGGACAGCGCGAUCCGCCCGCGCCGGCCGGCCGGCAGCAGCCCGCGCCUCGCCCAGCCCCAUGCCCGAGUGGCGCUGAGCCCAGCCCAGCAUGGCCACCACCGCCCCGUGCACCCGCUUCACCGACGACUACCAGCUCUACGAGGAGCUCGGCAAGGGAGCCUUUUCUGUGGUCCGCCGAUGUGUGAAGAAAAAUUCAUCCCAGGAAUAUGCUGCAAAAAUCAUCAACACCAAAAAGCUGUCAGCCCGAGAUCACCAGAAACUGGAACGUGAGGCCCGAAUCUGCCGACUUUUAAAACAUCCAAAUAUUGUGCGGCUCCAUGACAGUAUUUCAGAAGAAGGUUUCCACUACCUCGUCUUUGAUCUGGUCACUGGUGGAGAGCUCUUUGAAGAUAUUGUCGCCAGAGAGUACUACAGUGAAGCUGAUGCUAGCCACUGUAUUCACCAGAUACUGGAGAGCGUGAAUCACAUUCACCAGCAUGAUAUCGUGCACAGGGAUUUGAAGCCUGAAAACUUGCUACUGGCGAGUAAGUGUAAGAGUGCCGCUGUCAAACUGGCCGACUUUGGACUGGCUAUAGAAGUGCAGGGGGAGCAGCAGGCCUGGUUUGGGUUUGCUGGUACUCCAGGCUACCUCUCCCCUGAGGUGUUAAGAAAAGAUCCUUAUGGAAAACCAGUGGACAUAUGGGCAUGCGGAGUGAUUCUGUACAUACUGCUAGUGGGUUACCCUCCCUUUUGGGAUGAAGAUCAGCACAAGCUCUAUCAGCAGAUCAAAGCUGGAGCCUAUGAUUUCCCGUCACCUGAGUGGGACACAGUGACUCCAGAAGCAAAGAACUUGAUCAAUCAGAUGCUGACGAUAAACCCGGCUAAACGCAUCACGGCUGAUCAAGCACUCAAACACCCAUGGGUCUGUCAACGAUCCACUGUGGCCUCCAUGAUGCACAGACAAGAGACUGUGGAGUGCUUGAGGAAGUUCAAUGCCAGAAGAAAGCUGAAGGGUGCAAUCCUCACAACAAUGCUGGUCUCACGGAACUUUUCUGCUACCAAAAGCCUAUUGAACAAGAAGUCGGAUGGAGUGAAGAAAAGGAAGUCGAGCUCCAGUGUGCAUUUGAUGCCACAGAGCAACAACAAAACCAGUCUAGUAAGCCCAGCAAAAGAAACUCCCCCAGUGCAGACGUCCAUGGAGCCUCAAACGACUGUUGUCCACAAUGCCACAGAUGGCAUAAAGGGUUCCACAGAGAGCUGUAACACCACCACGGAAGAUGAGGAUCUGAAAGCUCCCCCUCUCUCCACCGGGGAUGGCAGCUCAGUGCUUGAAGGACGGAGGCACAGUGAGAGCAAAACACAGACUGAGUCCAUGCAGUCCCAGCUUUCUCUCUGUUUCUCAGCCACCACGCAGUCUUGUGAGGAGAAGCUUCUUGCCUGGGACAGCCCAGGGCAGACACUGGAGUUAGAGCGUGCUCAGUCGGAGCCUUUGCUAACUCCCGUAGUUCCGUUUGUACUUAACAGUGCAGCGUUGCGCAAACAAGAGAUCAUUAAGAUAACAGAGCAGCUGAUUGAAGCCAUCAACAAUGGAGACUUUGAUGCAUACACGAAGAUCUGUGACCCAGGCCUGACCUCGUUUGAACCCGAAGCACUGGGGAACCUAGUCGAGGGGAUGGACUUCCACAAGUUUUACUUUGAGAACUUACUGUCCAAGAACAACAAGCCAAUCCACACCACCAUCCUGAACCCCCACGUCCAUGUCAUUGGUGAAGACGCAGCCUGCAUUGCCUACAUCCGCCUGACUCAGUACAUCGAUGGCCAGGGCCGGCCCCGCACCACACAGUCUGAAGAGACCCGCGUCUGGCACCGUCGCGAUGGCAAGUGGCUGAACGUCCACUAUCACUGCUCUGGGGCCCCUGCCGCUCCGCUCCAGUGAGGAUCAAACACAGACAGGAUAUAGCAGAAUUACAGGAAGUCCAGUGAUGAGCAUAAUUUAGAGAUAUGAGAACCUCCAUGUGAAGAGAGAGGCAGAGAAGAAUUGGACUGUUACCAUAGAGCGGAGGGGAGUCCGAGAGGACGUGAUAAAGGUAUCCAAGCAGCUUUUGGAGAUACGCAGCUGGAGGGCAAUAUCUUCUAAGCAAGCAGCUCUGGAGUGCCUGAGUGACAGCGACGGUCAUGUCCGUUUUGACGUUUAAAAAAAAUUACAAAUUACAAAGCGGCAGCAGCCAAAUGCACGAAACCCUGCAUGCAUCUGAUGCUCCAGGCAUUGCCGCCUUUCUGUUGUUUUCCAUGGAUCCAUCGUGUCUGUUUCUGCUGUACGAAGGUGUUUUUUAAAUCUAAGAGAGACAUGUUGUUUGUAUUAAAAAAUAAAUAAAAUAAACCGGAAUAAUGAUAAAUAAAUGACAGACUGUCCAACACCCCCUCCCCCAGGGCUGACGAAAUGGCAUCAACUGGAGCAUCUUUCAGAAACCGAGCGAGGGGGAAAGCAAAAGGGAAGGCGAGAGAGCGCGAGGAGGAGGCGGCAGCUUGAGCAGCGGAUUGCUGAACUCUGCUCCACAAAGGCAAGGUGGAAGCUAACAUUGCAUUCAGGUUGUGCUGUGACUUUAAUCCAUGAGAGGUGGCGAGGAGACACUGGAGGGGCCUAAAUGAAGAAUGGGAGGGAAAGGUGGAGGAAUGACACUUCUCCACUCCCCACUGCCCAGCAGACUGACUUCAGCCCGAGUUUCUUCUUAAGUCUUCAGCGUGGUGCGGAUGCUGCGGAAAGCUGGCUGCUCAGUCGCCAGAGCCCACAGACUUCCUAAAAACGAAACGGGCUGUCGAGUAAAACCAAGGCUGGAAAAGGGGACUAUUAAAAAAAAAAAAUGGUUUAAAUAAAAAUAUAAAUAGGAGCUUGCUCUUGAGAGAUCCUGGUUUUAGAAGUGGCCACUCCUUGGCCAAACACGAAGGUUUGCGGCCAGCUGACAAAAGAAGAGUUAAGAGCAAAGGUUUUUAGAGGAAGAGGGUAUGUGUAUGGGAUUUCUUUUAUUGCUUUUCUUUUUCUUGUAGUGUAGCUGGGAUCCGCAGUGCUGCAGAACACAUGUUCCUUAGGAAGCAGAUGAGAAAACUAGUAUUAUGUUUUUAUGAAGACUCACGCAUCCACCUCUAUAUGAUGCAUCAUUAGCUUGUGUUUGAUACUGAAAUAUAUGCACCCAUAGAAUUAAGGAGCUCACCGGCUUCCAGUUUGAUUUUUUUUUUUUUUUUUUUUGGUUCUCUGGUAAAAUAGCAGAGGGAGCCAGCAACCCAGGGCAGGUGCUUCUCCCCCCAUCUGUUCUGUAAGUGUCAUGUGUCCUGGUGUUCUUUUGGCUAGCUUUUCUGUUUUUUCAUGGUGAUGAUGUAAUUCAUAGAACAAUCUGCUCAGAAUCUCAGCAGGCUGUAGACAGAGGGCUUCAAGCCUCAUGAUACAGAGGGGAAAGGUAGUUACUACAGACCUUCUGAUGCUUGUCCUUUGGGCAAAUUCAUCUUCCUUCCUUUGUUGGGGGAUGCUGUCCAUUUCCUUUAUUUGCUAGAAGGGGAAUGUUGAAUUAUUUUGUUGACUUGUCAUGAAUUAAUCCUGGCCAAGAGAAGCAAAAGGCCUUUUUAGUAGGCUCUCUUAGCACUAAGAGGCCCCCUGAUUUCUGUGUCCUGAUCAAGAGGAGGGCAGGGACUCGGUCAUUAUUGUGGGAUAUUGGGAUCAGCUUUUAGCUGAAGUCCCUCCAACUACAAAUCACUAAAUUUGGUCCUGGGGCUUUACGGUUUGUUAUCCCUACCCUCCUGAGGGACAGAGUAGACAGUAUAUUAAAAGAAGGCAAUGUUGUAAUGGCUUCUAAGGGAAAAGGAGGGCUACAUUAUACCUUGAUCCUUUUUCAGUGGAAUGAUGAAGGACCCGUAAGCUAUAGCACUGAGCGGAGUUACUGCCUUGCUCUGGAAAUCCCUCCACUCCCCUUUAAAGGAAGAGCCUUAAAUCAAUCCCACCCCCUGACUAGAGCAGCUAAUCCAUGAUGCAGGAAAAGGCCAUUCAUACUUUCCCAGGGUUUGUCUGGACAAAUAGUUUUCUUCCUUCCUUCACCAUCCCAACCGCAUGUGUGGGUGGGGUGUGGGGACUGAGACAGGCGGGGGUGAACACUGUCUCUUAUCGUUUCAGAACAUUUUUAGGAGGGCACUAAGCUAGUGAGUCAGGCAGAGAGGAAAAGCUUUGAUAUUUUAUUCAGAUUUUAAAAAAAAAGGCCACGCUGAGAGCAAACAGGACAUUACAAUUAUGCAGUUUUCAAAAGAGAAAUACAAAAAGUUAUGCAUGCCUUCUUCAGGUCUGAUCUUUCCUUGUCUCUUUACCUAUUGAUUAUUAAUGAUUAAAAAAGACCCUCUGUAUUUAGUAACUGCAUCUUUCAGAGAAAACUUAACAAAUGGUUGGGUUGUUUUGGUUUUGCACAGUCUUGGAGACAAGCUCUCUGUUUAUUCUUUUAAGUUAAUGAGAACUUUAGCUUGGUAUGGCCAUUAUCAGACAUAGCUGUACACCUUUAGCAUUCUUAAUGUUCUCUUAUGGGGCUAAUAUAAGCAUCUAUAUAAUAUAUAUUAUAAAUAUCACAUUUUAAACAGGAAAUGGAAGGCAUUUGAUGCAGAAUUUUUGCAUGAUUUAGAAAUAAUUAAAACAAAGUUUAGCUAGUGUUUGUUUGGUCUGAAUGUUGGUAAAAUCUUCAUAGCUUUGUUACAAUGAAACCUUGAACUGAAAAUAUUUAAUAAAAUAACAUUUAAACAGGG
This is an RNA transcript of Mauremys reevesii (Reeves's turtle), 5351 nucleotides long. It is a transcript of the gene named calcium/calmodulin dependent protein kinase II gamma, with no coding region annotated. The record is from RefSeq and is a predicted model, not a curated record. The transcript is spliced from 24 exons. Lineage: Eukaryota; Metazoa; Chordata; Testudines; Geoemydidae.